RNAcentral lists this ribosomal RNA (830 nucleotides) under marine metagenome. RNAcentral's name for it is "bacterial SSU rRNA". It matches the Rfam family "Bacterial small subunit ribosomal RNA", at positions 428 to 1248 of the family's 1533-position model. The record is from RNAcentral.
AAGCACUUUAAUCAGGGAAGAAGCAUUUUAAGUUAAUACCUUAAUAUGUUGACGUUACCUGAAGAAUAAGGACCGGCUAACUCCGUGCCAGCAGCCGCGGUAAUACGGAGGGUCCAAGCGUUAAUCGGAAUUACUGGGCGUAAAGCGCGCGUAGGCGGUUUAGUAAGUUGAAUGUGAAAGCCCUGGGCUCAACCUAGGAACUGCAUUCAAAACUACUAAGCUAGAGUACGAGAGAGGAGAGUAGAAUUUCUGGUGUAGCGGUGAAAUGCGUAGAUAUCAGAAGGAAUACCAAUGGCGAAGGCAGCUCUCUGGCUCGUCACUGACGCUAAGGUGCGAAAGCGUGGGUAGCAAACAGGAUUAGAUACCCUGGUAGUCCACGCCGUAAACGAUGAGAACUAGCCGUUGGAUAGAUUUUAACUAUUCAGUGGCGCAGCUAACGCAUUAAGUUCUCCGCCUGGGGAGUACGGCCGCAAGGCUAAAACUCAAAUGAAUUGACGGGGGCCCGCACAAGUGGUGGAGCAUGUGGUUUAAUUCGAUGCAACGCGAAAAACCUUACCUACCCUUGAAAUCCAGCGAAGUUUUCAGAGAUGAGAAUGUGCCUUCGGGAACGCUGUGACAGGUGUUGCAUGGCUGUCGUCAGCUCGUGUCGUGAGAUGUAUGGUUAAGUCCAGUAACGAGCGCAACCCCUAUCCUUAUUUGCCAGCGCGUAAAGGCGGGAACUAUAGGGAGACUGCCGGGUGAAACCCGGAGGAAGGCGGGGACGAGGUCAAGUCAUCAUGGCCCUUAUGGGUAGGGCUACACACGUGCUACAAUGGGAAGUACAGAGGGAU